CGCACCUUGCGCUCCCUGGUAUUCCGGAGAGCAUGCCUGUUUGAGUGUCGUGUAACCUCUCAAUCGAGUCCUCGCUUCUGCUUAUGCGGAACUGCGAGAGACUGGAUUGGAUCGUGGCCGCCCUUGCCGUCUUGCAACAUGGACAGCUCGGCCGAAAUGUAGACAAGUGACGAUCGCCCCUUGCGUGGAAUCGGCUUGACCUCUGGCGUUGUAAAUUUUCCUCGUCAGGUCCCGUUCUUCGCAGUCGGUGUACCGCACUUCGAGAACACAUUGGAGAGCCCUGCGCUCUCGAGCACUUUUGACCUCAAAUCAGGCAGGACUACCCGCUGAACUUAA
This 336-nucleotide unclassified non-coding RNA is filed under the name Spencerozyma crocea. RNAcentral describes it as "partial contains 5.8S ribosomal RNA, internal transcribed spacer 2, and large subunit ribosomal RNA". Lineage: Eukaryota; Fungi; Basidiomycota; Microbotryomycetes; Chrysozymaceae. The record is from RNAcentral.